RNAcentral lists this unclassified non-coding RNA (265 nucleotides) under uncultured Russulales. Its description in RNAcentral is "sequence contains ITS2". The record is from RNAcentral. Lineage: Eukaryota; Fungi; Basidiomycota; Agaricomycetes; Agaricales. RNAcentral also lists the same sequence under 1 other name.
AAUCCUCAAAGCCCCUUUUUCUUUGACGAGAAAGAGGAGUUUUGGACUUGGAGGUUCAAUGCUCGCUUUCGAUUCCGAAAGGCGAGCUCCUCUCAAAUGAAUCAGUGGGGUCCGCUUUGCUGGUCCUUGACGUGAUAAUGUGUUUCUACGUUUUGGAUCUGGCACUGUCACUUGGAUGCCCGCUUCUAACCGUCUCAUAGAGACAAUGAUGGUGCUCCGGUCACCGCCACCUACACUGGCGGGAGGCUUGACCCACGACAAAAAA